RNAcentral lists this ribosomal RNA (502 nucleotides) under uncultured Streptococcaceae bacterium. RNAcentral describes it as "bacterial SSU rRNA". It matches the Rfam family "Bacterial small subunit ribosomal RNA", at positions 32 to 507 of the family's 1533-position model. The record is from RNAcentral. Lineage: Bacteria; Bacillati; Bacillota; Bacilli; Lactobacillales; Streptococcaceae.
CGAGGACAACGCUGGCGGCGUGCCUAAUACAUGCAAGUCGAGCGAUGAUUGAAGAUAGCUUGCUAUUUUCAUGAAGAGCGGCGAACGGGUGAGUAACGCGUGGGAAAUCUGCCGAGUAGCGGGGGACAACGUUUGGAAACGAACGCUAAUACCGCAUAACAAUGAGAAUCGCAUGAUUCUUAUUUGAAAGAAGCAAUUGCUUCACUACUUGAUGAUCCCGCGUUGUAUUAGCUAGUUGGUAGUGUAAAGGACUACCAAGGCGAUGAUACAUAGCCGACCUGAGAGGGUGAUCGGCCACACUGGGACUGAGACACGGCCCAGACUCCUACGGGAGGCAGCAGUAGGGAAUCUUCGGCAAUGGGGGCAACCCUGACCGAGCAACGCCGCGUGAGUGAAGAAGGUUUUCGGAUCGUAAAACUCUGUUGUUAGAGAAGAACGUUGAGUAGAGUGGAAAAUUACUUAAGUGACGGUAUCUAACCAGAAAGGGACGGCUAACUACGUG